CCAUGUGGACUCUUUGCCUUUUCCUCUCUUAACUCUCUGAUGCUGGCUGAGUUACUUCUCUGAAACAUGUGCACAAUAAUUCAAGCUUCUCAUGGCUUCUAUGGAGAUUGAGAUAAAGGCAUCUAGAACUGUGCCAGAAACAGGUAGGCAAUACAUGUAAGCAUCCUGUUUGUGUUCAGUUAAUGUCUUUCCUCAAUGGCUUCAUAACAAAUUCUCAUAUGCUCCUGAAGCCUAGGAAUGUGACGCGGAAGAACACAUACUUCCUAUGUAAAAUUUCAAUGCAACAGAAUAAUGUACGUGCUCUGCCAUGAAGUUGGUCUUGUUUCUCUUUGCUUGAUCCUUAUGAUACUCUGUAACUCAUCAGUUCCUAAGUAGGACAAACAUGGUAGAUAAACAUACCUGGUACCAAAAGAUCAUAUAAAAACUUUCAGCAAUUGAAGUUUGGGUGGAGGAAGUUGGGGGGUAGAGGGCAGGAAACGGUCUUAAUAUUAGUGUCCCCAUUAAAAGAAAGCUACCCCUAAUUUACACAAUUGAUUCUCAGUUUGUAGUUUUUAUCAUAUAAAAACUAAAAUAAAUUUUAUAGAAAUAUUUGAUGUUUUUCCACAAUGAAUGUCUCAAUGGUCCAUUUUUGUUCCCUUUUCUAUAUUGAGGUACUAUUAAGCUGAACCUGCUUUGAAGUGUUCCUCAGAGAUGAUCAAUGAGAAAAUAUCCCCUGUUGUGUGAAGUCAAUCCUUUGACAGUUCUUGUUCACAUACUUUUAAUGUUAAAUAGUGUAUGCCAAAUUUAUUCAAAUAUACGUAUCACUAUCCUUAUUUUCCUAUUUUAGUUUCAGCUUUUUUUUUUGAACUAAAAAUAGUGCAUUUCAAGGUUUUCUACUUAAUUAUGUGCUUUUUAAAGAUGAUAAAAUAUAAUGUGCUUGAAAUUAUGCUAUUUCCAUGAAUAGAGAACCUUUCUAAGGGUAGCUAAAACAUCAAGCAAUUGAAAUAAUGCCAUCCCUCCACAUCAUUCGAUGCCCUGUUAAAAGAACCUGGAAGCACAAUCAAAGGAAUCUUAUUAUUAGAAAUCAGAAAAAAACAUGGUCCUAGAACCUUAGAUCAGUCAUGCGUCACCCAAUAACAAAGUCAAGGAAGGCAUUACACAUUGUCUACUGCAGGCUGAGCAAUCAGGGAAGCAGACUCUAUACUGAAUAUUAGUCUGGAGAAUGAUUAUUAGGGAGACUUUCUCAGAUUAGCACCUGCAGAGAGAAAGGGAUACAAAGGACACAGAUUUUGGCAGAGGAAGAUGUUGCUCUUGGAUGCGGUCAUAAGGAAAGCCUUAAGCAACCAUGUGGGGGGCUUUGCACUGAGCAUGGCCCUGGAGAGCUUUUAAGAAUUUGAGUGAGGAAGCUGAGACUUUAUGUCUCCAUGUCAAGGGGGGCAUGACUGUGGGCAAGAUAAUUCCUCUCAACUGAGGCAGUUCUACAGAAGGCUGAUGACUGUGAGCUGGAUGUUGGAGGCACACCCAACAGCUGAAGGAGAAUAUCCUUUAUUCCUCAAGGAGAUCCUGGGCGGCAUAUCAUAACAUCUACUACUAUACUAUUUUUUCCCUUACAUUUUUGCUAAAGCCACUUUUUAAUAAACAUAUUUAUGUAAACCCUUAAAAACCAUCAUUAAUAUCUCUAUGAAAGAAAUGAUAAAAUAAGCUGUUUGCAAAACAAAGCCACAAGCAUAGAAUUACAUUUUUUGAAGGCUUCAAUGACUAUAGGUAAUUGCCCAGCCAAAAUAUUUAACAGAGGGAGAGACUGAGGUAUUAGGUAAAGGGUUUUGUCCUGAGUCACAGUGUUGGUUAGUAGAGACUCAGAUCUCUCUGCUCCACCAUUCUUUACCCUAUACUAUCCUAUACCUAGUGUUUCCCAUUUGCUCUAUAAUGAAUCUGUUUCCUAGUAAUCCUAAAUUUAAAUGAUCUAUACAAGUUGGGGGAAAAUAAACAUAUAUACAAAAACCUUAAAUGUUUGAAAGAUAGGAUGCUAUAUUUUUAUGAAUUCCCAACCUUUCUAAGACUAUAUCCAUGCCUUCCAUCAUCUUCCUUAAUAAAGAGGGAUAUGUGAUAUUGGGGAAAUUAGAAUUUACCUCUUUUGGUUUCCCUGAGGUGUCAGAGCAGGAAAACUGCUAGAACCACAUUUAUUAGUUCUUAUACAUUGUACCAAUCUAAGGAAAUGCACUGUGAAGCCAUGCUAGAGCCACAUUUAACUGGAUUAUUAGAUAUAGAAGAAAACAGUAAGGUUGACCACACAAUAUUCCCUGUGGAUUUAAGCCCCCUAGAAGUUCUACCACAGGAGUUGUUUCUGGGUAUUGCAUAAAUGAAUUACCCAGGACACCUAAGGAUCUUUGCCAAAGAAUACAUUGUAGUGUACCUCAUCUUAGCCUAAGUAAUCAAUUCAGUUCUACUUUUAUAUCUGGUUUCAGUCUCUGAAAUCAAAACACUCAAGAAAAGAAAUGGAGGUCUAAUAAUUACGGCUAGUCUAACCUUACCAAAAAGAAACCAAAAAUUGAAAACAAUUGCAGAUCCCCCUGAAAUUAUGGAAUUUGAUCGAAAGUAUUUUCACCAUUGGCUGCUAACAAAGUUUCAGGAUGAACCAGUUGGGAGAUGGUAGGAUGUUCAUGGAUUGUGUCCCAUCCACUAUAUUGAACUCACCAGCCCAUGUAUCCACUCAAUCAAAUAACAAUGCGUGCUGAUAACCAAAGGUCAGGAUACUGUUGCCUGUGCUGGAACAUAGAAUACCUCCUAUGCAGACAAGUACAGGUACUGUCAGUGACGAUGCUGUUGCCUCUAAUGGUGUCCACCACAGGUGAUACUGACUAGCCGAAGGUGGAGCCAGAACCCAUUCAUACCAGAGAGCCUGACCAGUUACAACCUACAGAGCAGCUGGGAGAGAGAUGGAAAGUGUGAGUCUCUAAUUUCUGUUUUUCCUUUAGAAAGUUAAGUACCACAGGCCUAUGAAAACGUUUAGCCUUUUAAAAAUUUGUUAUGCAUGUAUUCUGAAUCAUUUUGACUACGAAAACUUAAAUGUGGUAUGAAAAAUGUGAGGUAAUGGUGCUCGCCCAGUCAAAAAUCAUUUAGGAAGGAGGUCCAUGUUAAUUCUAAGGCAGGGGUCAGUGUACCUAAAUAGCUAAGUCCAUCAGAUUUUUCAUGUGGAAUGGUGAGGUAAUUUUUAUGUUGCCAUCCAAGGUCAAAGACCAAGAAGCAAGAUAUCCAAGCAGUGUGCUGAGGCUGGAAGACUGCUUACACUGAAAUCGCUUCCAUUUUAGCUCCACAAAUCCAGUCCCUUCUGCUAAUUAAUUACAAGGUCUUCCUUGGCAGGUGACACACUCACCAUUAUUUAGCACACUGCAUGAAUUCUAUUGCCGUUUGGUGAGGCAUCUCUCUGUGAGAGAGCAGUUAAAGUAAAUGCAUCUAUUUCUGAUACCGCUUCCACCAGAGACCCUUUCCACAAACUAGACUCAAGUGGGCCCCAUCACAUCCAUUCAGCAGAUAUUCUGCUAAUUAAAUCUUCGAAUGAGGUUGAAGAAAGCGAAUAUCAAGACUGAUCCUUAAUAUCCCCCAGCCAUCUCUCUGGCAGCUACAUGAGGAGGAAGUUUAGUCAAUUUAUACUUACAGUCCUUAAAUUCAACCUGUUGAGAUAAUUGACUCAUGAGUGGAAGGAGACAGCAUUUUACUACUGACAUCUUGAUUCCCGUGAAGCCUAAGAUUUGGGCUAAAUCCUAAUAUUCCAUCCCUGAUUUGAGGCAGCUGGUUGUUGAGAAAAUACAACUAGAAUAUUAGAAUUCUGACUUCCAUGCAAUAGUGUAUCAGAAAAUUCAUGUCUACUUCAGUGCUUCAUAAAGUGAAAAUGUAAAUAUUAGGAUGCUUUUCAUAUUGUGAAAAAAGCACAAUACCAUCUAGAUUUUAUUCCCAAGUCUGUCCCCAAACUCUUCUAUGACCUGGGAAACUCAGUUUUUAGUCUGAAAGAUGAAAAAGAAGGGUCAUAUGAUAACUGGGACUCCCGACAUCUAACUAGUUCAACCAUUCUACAGAAAUGAGGCAAGAGUGAAGUUUUGUUCCAGAGCUCUCCUAAAAAAGGUCAUUAUGGACUCACAAAAACAAGUAUCUUUACACAUAUCAAGUAAUGCAAAGCAAAUUGUGUCUCCUUUGCAUCGGAGAUAAAUUAUAAGAUUAUAAUAUAUACUUUAAAUACAUUUCCUACUCAAAUUUAUCAUGGGAUGCCUCCUUCUGUUAUACUGAAGAUUAUUCACACACAAGAUUUACUGAUCUGUAGGAUCUGAAAGAAAAACCCUUUAGUUUAUCCUGUCAUUUUAAGUUUUGAAGUGGAAGCAAGAAGGGGAGGCCACAAAAAAUUUAGUUCUAAUUCUCUUCAUCCUUCUAUUUUUCUUCUUUACUUUCUUCUUCUUGCCUUAUCACUGAUAGAAGAGAUAAAUAGUGUCAACUGAGUUGGUGGGAUGAACAAUGGAGAGAGAAAAGGAGGCAGAGAGAGUUUAGAACAGCUUGGAUGUUUGGCUGUCAAGGGGGAGGCGGGAGGGAGGAAGAUGGACUGGGGUGAAUAGAUGCAAACUAUUACAUUUGGAAUGGAGAAACAACAAGGUCCUACCAUACAGCACAGGUAACUAUAUCUAAUCUCUUGGGAUAGAACAUAAUGGAAAACAAUUUUUUAAAAAUACUUUUAAAAAGGAUGUGUAUAUAAAUAUGUAUGACUGAAUCACUUUGCUGUACAGCAGAAAGUGGCACGACAUUGUAAAUCAACUACAUUUAAAAUUUUUUAAAACAUUUAAAAAGGAUGGCAGGGAGUUCCCCGCAUGGCUCAAUGGAAAUGAAUCCCACUAGCAACCAUGAAAUUGUGGGUUCAAUCCCUGGCCUCACUCUGUGGGUUAAGGAUCUGGCAUUGCCACGAGCUGUGGUGUAGGUCGCAGAGGCGGCUCAGAUCUGGUGUUGCUGCGGCUGUGGUGUAGGCCAACAGCUGUAGCUUUGGGAAUCUCCAUAUGCUGUGGGUGUGGCCCUAAAAAGCAAAAAUAAAAAUAAAAUAAAUAAAAAGAUUUAUUGGAUUUAAAUACAAACCAAAAAUAACUAGAACACCAUUCUUACUUGUUCCAAACUAUCGAGCCUCCUGUUGUGGAAAGCUAGGGGAGGAACAGUAGCCAUGGAAAUUGUGUCAAAGAGAACCAAACACAGCUUCUCCCAAGCACUUCUUUUAUUCUGUCGUGACACCUAAUAUGGUCCUUUGUUCUACACGGCUGAUAUUGAAACAAGAGAUUCAUAAGUGAUAAGUAAAUAUGCUUCAUGAGGCAGGGUAGUGCCAAAAGAAGACAAAGUACAAAAACAUAUAUGGGAAAUGGAGUUGAAUGAGAGGAUAAACAAAGGAAGCAUUGUGCCAAAACCUUUCAUUCAUGCAUAUCAAGUAAACAGUGUUUAUGGUGAGCAGAACUUUCUAUGGCAGUAUCAGGUCACACAUCCAUUUGUCAUGCUUAAAAGGAAGGUAUGUAUUUCUGGUUUUAAGUGAUCAAUCCCCAAUACAAACUCUCCUAGCUUUUACUGAAAAUACACUAUAUGCAGACGAUGACAACAAUAUCAUCAACACAAACACAGAUACACACACAUCUAUGUGACUGUUAGGAUUUUCAUGCAAUGUGUCAUCAGAAUAAGGAAGGAAACUUUAAUGACAACAUCAAUUUAAAACAAUUGACGCAUUCAAAGAGUGAAUUACCCCUUCUACAAGGCCAGCAAGAUAAUUCACUAUCCAUGUACAAGUAAAUUCUUCAUCCACUCAAGAGCCAUGCUAAUCAAAACACUGGUCACAAGUUCCAGCUUAGCAGCAAUGAACCCGACUAGUACUCAUGAGGAUGUGGGUUCAAUCCCUGGCCUCGCUCAGUGGGUUAAGGAUCCUACAACGCAGAUAUCUGUGGUACAGGUAGCAGAUGUGGCUCAGAUCCCGCAUUGCUGUGGCUGUGGCAUAGACCAGCAGCAACAGCUCAGAUUCAACCCCUAGCCUGGGAACUUCCAUAUGCCAUUGGUGUGGCCCUAAAAAGCAAAUAAAUAAAUAUUUAAAAGAGCAGCAAUGCUGGUCAGCUGUGCUACUAUUGUCUGUGCUGUUUUUGAUAUUCCAGCAUUUUAGAUCCUCUCAUCUGUAUCUCCCACCAAUAUUUCCCAUCAGUACUUGCACUCAGAUAAGGAAUCCUGAUAGAUAUACUUUUGUACAGUUGAGUGCUACAGCUGAAAGUAGAGGCCAAAAGGUAAGAGAGUUGAAGAUUCACCUUCUCUACAGGCAUUAUACGUUCACAGUGAUGGAGAAUCAAAUCGCGAGGAUGGGAGAAGCUCUCCUAUAGGUACAGGAGAGCUCCACUGGAAAGGAAAAAACACACACACACAAACCAGACUGCCUCACGGUGGGAACUGGCUUGGAACCCCAGCCACUGGUUUAUCUUAUGGCUCAAUGUGACUGUUUUUUAAGUAACUAGAGAAUGGGAGUCAAAAGCAAUCUUUGUUUUCUGUCUAUCAACCAUGACAAAUGUAGAUAGAAUUCUACUUAUUUAAGGAUGUAUAUAGAACAGAGAGAAUAAAAUUAGGCCUGUAAAACAAAUACCAGCCGUAACAAAGGAAUAGAAGACCCUUCCUUUAGAAUCAGCAAUCAGUGUUAACUACUUAUUUAGGAAUAAAAGGUUCAAAUUAGUAACUACUCCUUGAGAAAUUAUUUAGGGAAAAAAAGCUGUAGAGUUUGACAUCUACAUUAGAAAGCAAGAAGACAUGAUGACUUUAAUGCAAUAUGAAUAGAAAGUUAUAUGGAAAUAACAAGCUGAAAUGAAAAUAUUGAAUUUAAAGGGAGAGGAGGAAAAUAAGGAAGCGUCAUAAAGAGAAAUAAUAAUACACUGUAUUGCAUUUAAAUUUGCAAAGGCAUCAAAGAAAAAGCUAAAUACAUAAAUCAUAGGAAUAACUUGAAAAGCUGUUACUAAAAGCAAAUAAUAAGGGCAGGGAAAGGAAAAAGCAAUGAGGUCAUGCUUCUGAGAAGCCUGAGAAGGCUGAGGAAUACGGACAUUUGGAGUAGAAGAAAUACUGAAAGAUAUAGCUGGGGAAAAAAAAAGAUCUAAAUUAGAAAAAUUUAAGUGAUCUAAAGCAGGAUCAUAAUGUUCCAGGUGAAAUCAGUAAAAAGAAGCAUUGCCUGACCAGGAUAAAAAAAG
This 7202-nucleotide long non-coding RNA is filed under the name Sus scrofa (pig). RNAcentral describes it as "lncRNA (ENSSSCG00005026393.1)". Lineage: Eukaryota; Metazoa; Chordata; Mammalia; Artiodactyla; Suidae. The record is from RNAcentral.